Xiphophorus hellerii (green swordtail) is the source of this 2531-nucleotide long non-coding RNA. RefSeq lists it as uncharacterized. NCBI's taxonomy places the organism in Eukaryota, Metazoa, Chordata, Actinopteri, Cyprinodontiformes, Poeciliidae. The record is from RefSeq and is a predicted model, not a curated record. The transcript is spliced from 2 exons.
AAUCAUGACUUGAAGGAAAUUUUACUUCACAAUUUAACGCCUUGAAAUUGGGCCUCGGUCUCUUUAAGAAACUCUUGCUCUUUCCGAGACUCCGCCUUCAGGGCGUCGUGACGACCUUUCUACACUGACCCUUUAACGCUGGUUUUACCACAGUUUCAAGCAGCAGUGCCGUUCCACCAGGUGUUUGCUAACAGCUGCUGCCACUAGUCUGGAGGAGCUGAGCUCGGUAAGCUAAAGUCACAAAAUAAAUUCAGAAAAAUUAUCACAAUGACGCAAAAUUUAAUCUUGCAGGAUUUCUUCUUCCCUGAUCCCAGUGUUAAUGUUGAGAAGAGGAACCCGCAGCCUUUAACUGACGGGCUUGAGGAUUUAGCAGAACUAGAGUGGAUUGUUGCACACAAUUAGUCUGAGAAAAAAUUGACAACCUUAUUUGCAUUUUUCCAUGGUAACCAGUGUUUUUGCACUCAGAAUUUCCUAAAUGUCAUUUUCUGCUUAUUGAAUAUUAAAUACAUGUCUGUGUUUCCUCUCAGAUAAAGAACGAUCCCAGAGUGAUUACUAAAGUAUUAUUAAUCAUCCUCGUACGCCACAAAACCCCUGACGGAUUUCCGUGUCCUGCCGAGAUUUUCCCUGAGAGGUCGGGUCCAUUCAGAAGAACUUGAGAGAGCUGCAGGUUUCUAAUCAUUUUUGCAAGGAAUUUAGGCAGAUUAGACAACAUUAGACUUGAUGCCACUGGUUCAAACAACGGACUCCGCGCUGACUGCACUGCAACAGAGAGGUAGAGCCUGCAGGCAGCGAUUAAAACGGCUCAUGCAUAAAGAUAAUCAUUUUUUUCUACGUAUUGCAGGGUAAGAUGCUUUGCUGCAGUGAUAUUUGCAGAUCUCUAAACAAGAGGAGCGACGAACGACGGAGAAGGUUCUCCAUCACUCUGGAUGAGCAAAACACGGGUCAGCAACGGCAGCGAGAAAACGUGAACGUUUAAGAGGAGCCAUGUUGAGAUGACUGCCUGAAGGCGGAGCUUCAGAAGGAGCAGCAGCUCCUUAAAGAGACAGAGGCCCAAUUUCAAGGUGUUACAUUUCAACGUCAAAUUUCUUUUAAGUUAUUUUUGAUACGUGACGUAAAAGUUACCUGCAGUUUGUCUAAAAACUGAAGGUAAACUCAGUAACUUUAUUGUGCUGUAAGAUGAUUCUGUGUGGCUGGAAAACACAUUUUCCCUUUCAAGAGCUCCAUCCUCACGUCUUCCUGUCUCAAGUUUCACACAGACGAUUCUGAGGCUCCUCUGGCGGAUUCCCCAAAGCGCUGACGUUAUUGAAUGUGAAGUGCAAUGCGGAAGUCCAUUCAGUCCGAAGCAUCGGAGCCGAAGACUUUUGGCUUGAAGCUGUUAUUAUUUUAGCUCCAGUGUUGUUGCUGGAAGGUGACUCAUCUCCCCCGGCAACCGGCUGGUGCAGUCGGGAGCACAAGCACCAAUCCGGCCUGCAGGGACCUCUGCUGUUUCCUCCCGACCCGCUUUCAUCCAUUAAUGACGACGUUAAUCCCUGUUGUGUUUGUGACACAAAUCAUCCAAAGUUAAAGCCAGUUAUUUUGGACCAGUGGUGUCCUGAGUGCAGCCCGGGGGCCGUUUGCAGCUGCAAUUUGAGAAGGUUAUAAAUUUGGAGUUGAUGAAAGAUGGUGGAAAAAAUGUUCAUUUAGAUGAACACGCUUGGCUAAUUAUUAGGUUAGGUUUGUUUGUUUGUUUUAUUUUUAGACUGAACAGUUAACCUGGUGAAAGAAAAUUGUUCCAAUAUGUGUCCAACAUGGGAUUUUCAUUAAUAAUUAUAUUAAUUAAAGGAAUUAUUGCAUAAUUAGUACAUAAUUAAAGGUAUCAUAUACGUUUUAUUGCAUAUUGUGACAUUCUGUGACUCAGUUCCAGCAGAUGUCUGCUAAUUGCUGCUGGCUAGUCCAGGGAGGAUCUUCGUCCUCGAAGGCGGAGCCAAGUCCACCCAGGCAUUUUGCACAGCUGAAUGGUUGCCAUGGAGAUUGAAGGAUUUCUCAAAGAUGCAUGAGAGAAUCAACGCAACAAUCCAGCUGAACUUCGCCAGCAGCUCGGAUUGCACCGCGCCAUCGGCCCGCUUCCUCCAUGCAGCCCAAAGCUGAACGGCUCUUGCCGGCUAUAAAGACGCUGCAGGGCGCGACCAAAACCAACGCCACCAAACCCAGGGGCUUCCUGUAGGGGACGUCUGGAGCGCCGCCACUUUCAGCUCAUUUUCUCCCUGGAAGCUGCUGGAUGAUCGUCGUUUCGCUGCAUCAGCAGCUUUGGAGCUGUCAGGUGUGAGGACAUCAGCUAGACAUGUUUUCAUUUUAAUGAUUAGGGAAGCAGCAAAAACGCACGAUGACAAAUUCCUGUAAAUGUUUAUGUUUGAUUGUUACCCGUUGUUUUCACACGUUAAAAAUCUCCAAAAAUGCAACGUAACUGGAGCAUUUUCAAUUCAAACCGUUUUUUUUUUUUUUUUUUUACAAAUCUGCAGCAUGUGAAUUUUACAGCAUGAAAAAGUCUAGCU